Long non-coding RNA from Tupaia belangeri chinensis (Chinese tree shrew), 897 nucleotides. RefSeq lists it as uncharacterized. The transcript is spliced from 2 exons. Lineage: Eukaryota; Metazoa; Chordata; Mammalia; Scandentia; Tupaiidae. The record is from RefSeq and is a predicted model, not a curated record.
CUGAUCUUGGGGCGUGCCAUCUUCCUCUUCUCUGUCAGGUGCAGUGAGUAGGUGGUAUUCUUUGUAGGGGCCAAGUCGCCCUCCCUUCCCUAGUGUCUUCUUGUCCUCCACCUGGAGCCACCGAAGCAGCGGAAUUCGGCGGUAGUGAGGGCAGGGCGCAGGAAUCUCUCUGGCACCGACCCCCAUGAGAGCACUUGGCAAGAAUCUCCUUGAUGCUAGAAUCUGGAUCUGCUGCAACAUCUGCUGGACUCAGAAACCAGUUCUCGCCAGGGAAUCUCUCCGAGUCCGCAGAGAAGAGGGAAGAUGCGAAUUCCUGCGAGAACAUGGUUCAAGGAAAAUACAUUAUUACUAAGAAAAGUAAGCUUGGAUUUCAAAAAAAAAAAAGUCUCUGCUGCCUACUUGUUAGAACGUGUCUGAACAGAAUCUAGUUUGAAGCACAGAGACAUCAGUUUGAAAAGAAACCUUAUCAGAGCAACAUGCAUCUGCUAAAACUGAAGCAAUGACAAGCAUCAAGCUUAUAGUGAAGGCUGAGAAGUAUAGUGAAAUCAUUGAAGCUUUACAAAAAGUUUACGGGGGCAAUGUCUCCUAAAAAUCAGCCGUUUACAAGUAGGCAGCUCUUUUUAAGAAGGGAUUAAACAGUGUUGAAGGUGGCACCUACAGAUGCAGACCAUCUGCAUCAAUUUGUGAGGAAAAUGUUAGUUUUGUUCGUCUAUGCCCUGAUAGAAGAGAAUGGGCAGUUAACAACAAAAACAGUAGUUGACACCAUAGACCUCUCGGUUCAACUUACACAGUUCUGACUGAAAAAUUAAGGUUGAAAAAAAAAUUUUGAUUGAGGGGUGCCAAAACUAUUGUGACCUGAACAGCUGCAGACAAAAGUAAAGUUUUUUUAAAUAUUUA